This 1285-nucleotide ribosomal RNA is filed under the name metagenome. RNAcentral's name for it is "SSU rRNA". It matches the Rfam family "Eukaryotic small subunit ribosomal RNA", at positions 1 to 1324 of the family's 1831-position model. The record is from RNAcentral.
UCUGGUUGAUCCUGCCAGUAAUAUAUGCUUGUCUCAAAGAUUAAUCCAUGCAUGUCUAAGUAUAAAUAGUAUACCUUAAAACUGCAAAUGGCUCAUUAAAACAGUUAUAGUUUAUUUGAUAAUCAAACGCUACAUGGAUAACCGUGGUAAUUCUAGAGCUAAUACAUGCUGAUAACCCGGCGCAAGUCGUGGUUGUAUUUAUUAGAUAUUAAACCAAUAUGUUAAUAGCAUUUUGAAGGAAUUACAGUAACUGAUCGAAUCCUCAUUUGUUGAGGAUAAAUCAUUCAAGUUUCUGCCCUAUCAGCUUUCGAUGGUAGUGUAUUGGACUACCAUGGCGAUUACGGGUAACGGAGAAUUAGUGUUCGAUUCCGGAGAGGGAGCCUGAGAAACGGCUACCACAUCUAAGGAAGGCAGCAGGAGCGUAAAUUACCCAAUGUCGACUCGAUGAGCGUAGUGACAAUACAUAACAAAGAGGGGAUUUUUUAUCUUACUCUAUUGCAAUGAGGCAUGUUUAAUAACCUGUUCGAGCAACCAGUGAAGGGCAAGUCUGGUGCCAGCAGCCGCGGUAAUUCCAGCUUCACGAGUGUAUAUUUAAGUUGUUGCAGUUAAAAAGCUCGUAGUUGAACUUCUGUUCGUUUAGUAGGCGGUCAAACGCAGACUAGAUGAACAUCCGCCUGAAAAAUCAUUAGGGCCUUCACUGGUUCAGUGAUGGAUCAGGCAUUUUACUUUGAAAAAAUUAGAGUGUUCAAAGCAGGCUAUCGCCCGAAUACAUUAGCAUGGAAUAAUAGAAUAGGACGCUGUUCAAUUUGUUGGUUAUUGAAUUGCGUAAUGAUUAAUAGGGACAGUUGGGGGCACUUGUAUUUAAUUGUCAGAGGUGAAAUUCUUGGAUUUAUUAAAGACAAACUUAUGCGAAAGCAUUUGCCAAGGGUGUUUUCAUUAAUCAAGAACGAAAGUUAGAGGAUCAAAGACGAUCAGAUACCGUCCUAGUUUUAACUAUAGACUAUGCCGACUCGGUCUCCGUCGAGUAAUUUUACCUCGAUGGGGUGCCGUAUGAGAAAUCAAAGUCUUUGGGUUCCGGGGGGAGUAUGGUCGCAAGGUUGAAACUUAAAGGAAUAGACGGAACAUCACUACCAGGUGUGGAUCCUGCGGCUUAAUUUGACCCAACACGGGGAAACUUACCAGCGCAAAACAAGGGUGGGAUUGACAGAUUGAGAGCUCUUUCUUGAUUCUUUGGAUAGUGGUGCAUGGCCGUUCUUAGUUGGUGGAGUGAUUUGUCUGCUUAAUU